GAGUUGGAGGGCUGGAUUAGCAUUCAUAUAGGUUAGUCUGGACAAGAAUUUACUUGGGUCUUGUCUGCAGAUAUUAUUGGUUAGGCUUGAACUGGCAUAAUGCCGCCAAGGAAAGGAGGUGGAAAAAAGAAGGGCAAAAGCCCUGCCAAGAAGCGUGUCAUUCCUCAGGUGUCUCCUCCUGGGUCGACCUCUGACGAGGAGUCCUGGGUAAUGUUGAAGGAAUUGCAGGCCAAGGUGGCUAGAUUGGAAAACAGGCAGCUUGAGAGGCAGGCUCCUGGAGGUGGGGAAGUCACGCCACGCCAUUCAGUUAGAGAGACAAAGGGGCGGCGUAGGGCAGAUGUGAGAGCUAUGACUGUGGAAUUAACGAAGCGACUUGAUGCCAUUGAAUCUGAGCAGGUGCAAGAUCUGGAAGAGCAUAGUAUGGAUGAUGUUUCGGAGACGGUGCCAGUGAGGGCUGAUGGACGCAAACGUGGGAGGAUGGAUCCAGCAGUCUAUCAGGAGAUGGGAGAGGGAACAUCAUAUGGGUAUGACCCUUAUGAUGAACCCUCCACGAGUUAUCAAGGGGCCGCGGCGACGACAGGAUCACCGAGAACAGGGUCUGGUGAGUAUGGCAGUUCGCACAACACAAUCAGUCCGGCGGCACAGUGGCCCUGGGCUGGAGGUCUACAACAGUCAGGUACAUAUCCCAGUACAUAUUCAAUGUCUGGUCCGGCAUGGCCGGGCGGUUUCUGGCCCCCAGUGGGGCAGCAAUGGUUUGGAUGGGGAAUGCCAUUCCCAACACCGGUGAAGCCAGCGGUGGAUGAAGGUAAGAGUCCAGUUACACAGCAGCAUCCAUCAGUACCCAAUACAGGUUACAAUACAGUGCCAAUGUCAGCUAUUCCUUACACAGACUAUAGUACGCCACUGGGAGACCAUCUGACGCCAGCUGUUAAGGAAAGGAUUUGGCGCGGAGAUUUCAUUGAUUUUUAUGAAUUGCUUAACCGGGAAUUUGAGGUAAAGGAGAUUGAUAAAGAUGAUGAGAAAUUGAAGGAGAAACAUAGGCGCAAGAGACCGGAUAGGAAUUGGACCAACUGGGUCACAGGAUUUACGAUAUAUGCAGGAGUCUUAGUAAAAAUGCAGCCUUGGAAGGCUUCAGCCUUGUUCCAAUAUUUUGAUAUCAUGCGUAGAGCAAAGGCUGAAUUUGAGGGUCAGGCGUGGCUGCGUUAUGAUGAGGCAUUCCGAAUGCGGAGUGCUAUCCGGCCUGAGCUACGAUGGGAUGAAACACACCCAGGACUCUGGCUACAGCAUAUGUCGCCUGCUAAGACGAGUCUAGGCGAUAGAUUUGAUUGUGGACAUUUGAAUAUAAAAUACCCAGCUAACAGUGGCACCCG
RNAcentral lists this long non-coding RNA (1370 nucleotides) under Pogona vitticeps (central bearded dragon). Its description in RNAcentral is "lncRNA (ENSPVIG00000004942.1)". The record is from RNAcentral. Lineage: Eukaryota; Metazoa; Chordata; Lepidosauria; Squamata; Agamidae.